GGGGAUGACAUGGUUUCGACGGGGAUGAGGAUGGUCAGAACGGCAUCUCGUGCUCUCCGCGUUGCACGUAAAUAAAGCGGAAAACAAUAAGUGCAGAUUACAACUACGCACUGGCUGCUUAAUUAAAGCAACCCAUCCUAUGUGAUUAUGCCCAACGAAUCAUAAUAGGGUGUCGCUAAAGUUGGGAUAGUUUGAUAACAUUCUCAGGGUCAUCAAGCGAAACCUUACUGAGAUAGCUUGCAAUGACUGAGUUCGCUCCGGAAUUUGCAGGCAAACCUUUACCGAGCGGACUAUUGAUGUAAAUGUUCUGGUGGUCUUCUCUUCGGACCGGGGUUCGAUUCCCCGCAUCUCCACAA
This 356-nucleotide transfer-messenger RNA is filed under the name Bacteroidota (CFB group bacteria). RNAcentral describes it as "PNNN01 sp013824245 Standard tmRNA". It matches the Rfam family "transfer-messenger RNA". From Rfam's summary of the family: Bacterial tmRNA, also known as 10Sa RNA or SsrA, is named for its dual tRNA and mRNA-like properties. Its role is to liberate the mRNA from a stalled ribosome. RNAcentral also lists the same sequence under 1 other name. Lineage: Bacteria; Pseudomonadati. The record is from RNAcentral.